UGCAGAUGAUGAUCAUUUUUUGCUGUGAAAACAAAAAAAGUGAUGACAACCACCAAGAUCGCUGAUGCA
Molecule: small nucleolar RNA, 69 nt
Filed under: Chloebia gouldiae (Gouldian finch)
Lineage: Eukaryota; Metazoa; Chordata; Aves; Passeriformes; Passeridae
Description: Erythrura gouldiae (Gouldian finch) Small nucleolar RNA SNORD24 (ENSEGOG00005006062.1)
Rfam family: Small nucleolar RNA SNORD24
About the family: U24 is a member of the C/D class of snoRNA which contain the C (UGAUGA) and D (CUGA) box motifs. C/D box snoRNAs have been shown to act as methylation guides for a number of RNA targets. U24 is encoded within an intron of the gene for ribosomal protein L7a in mammals, chicken and Fugu.
Source: Rfam by way of RNAcentral